Molecule: small nucleolar RNA, 106 nt
Organism: Rhodamnia argentea
Lineage: Eukaryota; Viridiplantae; Streptophyta; Magnoliopsida; Myrtales; Myrtaceae
Product: small nucleolar RNA Z157/R69/R10
Exons: 1
Source: RefSeq, a predicted model, not a curated record
GCGAGUGCAGUGAUGAUGCAAUAGUAUGUGGACUAGAGUUUCUGAUACCUGGUGGCUUUCACUCCCCAGUGGUUGAAGACUAACCCUUGGCUGUCUGAGCACUCUC